UUAAGCUACAAAGGGCGUAGGGUGAAUGCCUUGGCAUCAAGAGCCGAUGAAGGACGUGAUAAGCUGCGAUAAGCUAUGGGUAGGAGCAAAUAUCCACUAAUCCAUAGAUCUCCGAAUGAGGAAACUCAACUAGUAACAAUAUACUAGUUAUCCAUACAUGAGUAAAGUAGUGUAUGAGAAGGGAACGUGGGGAACUGAAACAUCUUAGUACCCACAGGAAAAGAAAGAAAUUAUUCGAUUCCUAGAGUAGUGGCGAGCGAAAUAGGAAGAGCCCAAACUGUAAGUAGUAAUACAUACAGGGUUCGGACUGCAUAAUCGAUUUAAUGAGUUUAGUAGAAGUGUUUUGGAAAAGCACACCAUAGAUGGUGAAAGUCCAGUAUGCGAAAAGCGAGUUAACGAGGCAGUAUCCAGAGUAGCACGAGGCACGUGGAAUCUCGUGUGAAUGUGUGGGGACCAUCCCAUAAGGCUAAAUACUACUUGAUGACCGAUAGUGAACGAGUACCGUGAGGGAAAGGUGAAAAGAACCCCGGGAGGGGAGUGAAAUAGAAUUUGAAACCCUAUGUUUACAAGCAGACAAAGCACGUUAAGGUGCGAUGUCGUACUUUUUGUAGAACGGUCCAGCGAGUUAUUGUAUAUGGCAAGGUUAAAUACUAAGUAAGGUAUGGAGCCGAAGCGAAAGCGAGUGUUAAUAGCGCGUUUAAGUCAUAUGUAAUAGACCCGAAACCGAGUGACCUAUCCAUGGUCAGGAUGAAGCUAGAGUAAAAUCUAGUGGAGGUCCGAACUGAUUGUCGUUAAAAAGGCACCGGAUGAACUGUGGAUAGCGGAGAAAUUCCAAUCGAACUCGGAGAUAGCUGGUUCUCCUCGAAAUAGCUUUAGGGCUAGCCUUGAGGUAAAGACGUAUGGGGGUAGAGCACUGAAUGAGCUAGGGGCCUAACCAGGUUACUGAACUCUAUCAAACUACGAAUACCAUAUUGUUAUACUCAGGAGUCAGACUGCGGGAGCUAAGUUCCGUGGUCAAAAGGGAAAGAGCCCAGAUCGUCAAUUAAGGUCCCAAAGAUAUAGCUAAGUGGAAAACGAUGUGAUUUUGCGUAAACAACCAGGAUGUUGGCUCAGAAGCAGCCACUCAUUCAAAGAGUGCGUAACAGCUCACUGGUCGAGUGAAUUUGCGCGGAAAAUUACCGGGGCUAAACUAUACACCGAAAUUUCGGAUUUACGUAUGAAAAUAUGUAAGUGGUAGAGGAGCAUUCUGUAGUAGGACGAAGUCAAAGCGAAAGCAUUGGUGGACGAGGCAGAAGAGAGAAUGCUGGAAUAAGUAGCGAGAGCAAGGUGAGAAUCCUUGCCGUCGAAAGUCUAAGGUUUCCUGGGGAAGGUUCGUCCGCCCAGGGUUAGUCGGGACCUAAGGAGAGGCCGAGAGGCGUAUCUGAUGGACAGCAGGUUGAUAUUCCUGCACUAUAGAUAUACUUAAAAGAUGCAAGGGACGCAGAAGUGGAAGGAAUGCGAGGAAGAGGAAAAACUCGUAUCGAAAGAUAUAGUGAAAAUAAAGUAACGAAUUUCCAAGAAGCACGCUGACGAGAAAAGCUUGUAGAUAUUGUAUAUAAAUACCCGUACCGCAAACCGACACAGGUAGAUGAGGAGAGGAUCCUAAGACGAGCGGGAGAAGCAUUGUUAAGGAACUCGGCAAAUUGACCCCGUAACUUCGGAAUAAGGGGUGCCUAUGUAAAAGUAGGCCGCAGAGAAUAGGCCCAAGCAACUGUUUAACAAAAACACAGGUUUCUGCUAAAUCGAAAGAUGAAGUAUAGGAGCUGACGCCUGCCCAGUGCUGGAAGGUUAAGGGGAAGAGUUAAGACUUGAUCUGAAGCUUAGAACCAAAGCCCCAGUGAACGGCGGCCGUAACUAUAACGGUCCUAAGGUAGCGAAAUUCCUUGUCAGGUAAGUUCUGACCCGC
Molecule: ribosomal RNA, 1945 nt
Filed under: human gut metagenome
Description: bacterial LSU rRNA
Rfam family: Bacterial large subunit ribosomal RNA
Source: RNAcentral